RNAcentral lists this long non-coding RNA (1503 nucleotides) under Monodelphis domestica (gray short-tailed opossum). RNAcentral's name for it is "lncRNA (ENSMODG00000035339.2)". Lineage: Eukaryota; Metazoa; Chordata; Mammalia; Didelphimorphia; Didelphidae. The record is from RNAcentral.
CUUUUUGUGGAUCUACAAGAUAGUUACCAUGUUGCCUUGUAACAGAAGAAAACAAACUGGACUGCUUGAGGAUUAAACAUGGCCUUUGCCUUGUUAGCAUCAGAACCCUUGAGGAAGGGUUAAUGGCCAAAGGAAGGAAAAAAUCCCAACUGCCCGUUCCUCCCAGUUAACUAGACAAUAGAGGUAAAAGCAGAUAUAUGGGGAAUUUCCCAUAAAUCUCUGUUGAAAUGUAAUUCAGUCAAUGAACCUCUUAAUGCUUGUCUUUUUUAACAUCUGCCAGGUUACAGGAGCAUCAAGAGGCUUUGCUUUGGCAAAGUUCUUUUGAAUUUUUUGAGGUGAAGGGAAACAGUAGAAGACUAGGGUUAUAAUUGCAACUUGCAUUACAUGUGCCAUGGGGACAAUCCUGAUUUUCUUUCUAAAAUGGCCCUUGUGUCCCAUGCAGGCUUUCUGGGGCAUCAUGAUUUAAGGAAGACUUCAAGUAAAAGAAGGAAUUUUAAUUGGAACUUAAAGGAAGCCACGGAGGUCAAUAGCUGGAGUAUGAGAAGACCAUUUCAGUCAUGGGUCAGGCAGAGAAAAUGCCCAGAGAGAUGCAGUGUCUUGUCUGUGGAACAGCCAGGUAGCCAGUGCCAUUGGAUCAAAGAGUAUAUCAGGAGGGCAAAGUAUAAGAAGACUGGAGAGAUUCCAGUGAAGAUAAAACCACUACAAAAAAUCAGUGCUAUAUUUUCUAAAUCAGAAGAUGCCUAUGAGAGGGAACAGCCUUGAAGUAGCCCUGGAUUUGGAGUCAGAGGACUUGUGAGUUUGUCCCAAUUCUACCAUUUAUUAGCUGUGUGAUCUUUGACAAGUCUUUUUUACUUCCCGAUUUAUUGUUUUGUUGAUUUUCUAGAUUUAAGAAAGUAGCAGAGAAAAUAUUGAUAAUGCAGGUUAAAUGAAAAAAAAUGUGUCAUAUAUAUUUUUUCUGGCAGAGUUAUUUUCCAGCACACACUUCUUUGUUCCACUUAUCGCACAAUGUGGUUAUACUGAAAGUAUGUUGUAAAUCUUUUUUUUUUUAAAUCCUUACCGUCUGCCUUAGAAACUAUACUGUGUAUUGGUUCCAAGGCAGAAGAAUGGCAAGGGCUAGGCAAUGGGGGUUAGCUUGCCCAGGGUCACAUAGCUAGGAAGUGUCUGAGGUCAUAUUUGAACCCAGGACCUCCCCGUCUCUAGGCCUGGCUGUCCAUCCACUGAGCUAUUCCAGUAUUUAGAUCUUCUAAAAGGAACAAGGCACUUUUCAGAAACCUGGAAGAUGGACUCAGGAUGCACAAUAACAUGAGGUUCAUGCCUUUAAGCAUCUUCCAUGGAGGUAGGAUGUGGAAUAAUAAUAAUAUCUGUAAAGAGAUAAACAUGUUUCAAAUUAGAAUUUGAUAAAUGCAUGAGAAAGAAAAGUUGCUAUAAGAUCAGGAGAUGGAGAGAUCACCUCCAGCUUGGGAAUCCAAUAAAGAUUUAUGAAAUCCCUUCUAAGUAUAAGGA